RNAcentral lists this ribosomal RNA (441 nucleotides) under Corinna nitens. RNAcentral describes it as "partial 16S ribosomal RNA". Lineage: Eukaryota; Metazoa; Arthropoda; Arachnida; Araneae; Corinnidae. The record is from RNAcentral.
UUCUAUUAUUAUCAUUAAUAGUAUAAUCUGCUCAAUGAUAAAUUAAAUAGCCGCAGAACCUGUGCUAAGGUAGCAUAAUCAUUUGUCUUUUAAAUGAAGACUUGAAUAAAAGAUUGAACAUUUUAACUUUUUAUUAAAAAUAUAUUUUUAAAUUAUCCUAAGUGUAAAAAGACACUUAUAUAAUAGAAAGACGACAAGACCCUACUGAACUUAACUAUAGUUAAACUGGGGUAGUUAAAUAAUUAUAAUUUUAAUUUAAAUUUUAAAAUUAAAUGAUCUAAUACAAUUAAUUAAAUGAUCAAGUUACCAUAGGGAUAACAGCAUAAUAUAAAUUUAAAGAUCUUAUAACAAUAUUAAAUUAUGACCUCGAUGUUGAAUAAUAACCUAAUUAUCGCAAAAGAUAAUAUUAAAGGAAGUCUGUUCGACUUUUAAAUAAUUACA